AUCCAGCUAGUGACGAGUCCUAAAUUGGACGAAAUGCACGUCCUGUAU
This 48-nucleotide non-coding RNA is filed under the name Schistosoma mansoni. Lineage: Eukaryota; Metazoa; Platyhelminthes; Trematoda; Strigeidida; Schistosomatidae. The record is from RNAcentral.